RNAcentral lists this ribosomal RNA (268 nucleotides) under uncultured Fusibacter sp. RNAcentral's name for it is "partial 16S ribosomal RNA". It matches the Rfam family "Bacterial small subunit ribosomal RNA", at positions 1115 to 1382 of the family's 1533-position model. The record is from RNAcentral. Lineage: Bacteria; Bacillati; Bacillota; Clostridia; Eubacteriales; Fusibacteraceae.
UUGCAAACAGGUCAAGCUGUGCACUCUAGACAGACUGCCGUGGACAACACGGAGGAAGGUGGGGAUGACGUCAAAUCAUCAUGCCCCUUAUGAUCUGGGCUACACACGUGCUACAAUGGCCGGUACAACGGGCAGCGAAGGAGCGAUCCGGAGCGAAUCCUAAAAAGCCGGUCCCAGUUCGGAUUGCAGGCUGAAACUCGCCUACAUGAAGUUGGAGUUGCUAGUAAUCGCGAAUCAGAAUGUCGCGGUGAAUGCGUUCCCGGGUCUU